RNAcentral lists this ribosomal RNA (468 nucleotides) under uncultured bacterium. RNAcentral describes it as "partial 16S ribosomal RNA". It matches the Rfam family "Bacterial small subunit ribosomal RNA", at positions 28 to 507 of the family's 1533-position model. The record is from RNAcentral.
GACGAACGCUGGCGGCGUGCUUAACACAUGCGAGUCGAACGGAAAGGCCCUGCUUUUGUGGGGUGCUCGAGUGGCGAACGGGUGAGUAACACGUGAGUAACCUGCCCUUGACUUUGGGAUAACUUCAGGAAACUGGGGCUAAUACCGGAUAGGAGCUCCUGCUGCAUGGUGGGGGUUGGAAAGUUUCGGCGGUUGGGGAUGGACUCGCGGCUUAUCAGCUUGUUGGUGGGGUAGUGGCUUACCAAGGCUUUGACGGGUAGCCGGCCUGAGAGGGUGACCGGCCACAUUGGGACUGAGAUACGGCCCAGACUCCUACGGGAGGCAGCAGUGGGGAAUAUUGCACAAUGGGCGGAAGCCUGAUGCAGCAACGCCGCGUGCGGGAUGACGGCCUUCGGGUUGUAAACCGCUUUCGCCUGUGACGAAGCGUGAGUGACGGUAAUGGGUAAAGAAGCACCGGCUAACCACGUG